GACGAACGCUGGCGGCGUGCUUAACACAUGCAAGUCGAACGGAAAGGCCCUGCUUUUGUGGGGUGCUCGAGUGGCGAACGGGUGUGUAACACGUGAGUAACCUGCCCCUGACUUUGGGAUAACUCCAGGAAACUGCGGCUCAUACCGGGUAUGAGCUCCUGCUGCAUGUUGGGGGUUGGAAAGUUUCGGCGGUUGGGGAUGGACUCGCGGCUUAUCAGCUUGUUGGUGGGGUAGUGGCUUACCAAGGCUGUGACGGGUAGCCGGCCUGAGAGGGUGACCGGCCACAUUGGGACUGAGAUACGGCGCAGACUCCUACGGGAGGCAGGAGUGGGGAAUAUUGCACAAUGGGGAGAAGCCUGAUGCAGCAACGCCGCGUGCGGGAUAAGGGCCUUCGGGUUGUAAACCGCUUUCGCCGGUGAUGAAGUGUGAGUGACGGUAAUGGGUAAGAAAGCAACGGCUAACUACGUG
RNAcentral lists this ribosomal RNA (468 nucleotides) under uncultured bacterium. Its description in RNAcentral is "partial 16S ribosomal RNA". It matches the Rfam family "Bacterial small subunit ribosomal RNA", at positions 28 to 507 of the family's 1533-position model. The record is from RNAcentral.